ACAACUCAGGUCUGUGGUUGCAAGUCGAUGCCAGUUGCAGGCAAAACGAUCCACGUAAGCAAUGAAAAGCCAUUGUGAGCACGGUGCAGCUUAGAAGUAAGUCCUGCCGCGAAAAGCGAGAGAAGCAGUAGUGGGGAGCAUGAGGCUUAGGAGCGAACCUUCCAGCAGGCGGGUGUGGGGGCGAAAACCAGGUCAGCUGAGUUGU
Molecule: regulatory RNA element, 205 nt
Organism: Acidaminococcus fermentans DSM 20731
Lineage: Bacteria; Bacillati; Bacillota; Negativicutes; Acidaminococcales; Acidaminococcaceae
Rfam family: raiA RNA
Source: Rfam